RNAcentral lists this non-coding RNA (84 nucleotides) under Limimonas halophila. Lineage: Bacteria; Pseudomonadati; Pseudomonadota; Alphaproteobacteria; Rhodospirillales; Rhodovibrionaceae. The record is from RNAcentral.
CAGGAGGCCGGCGACGGUUUCCGACGGACCGGGAGAAGUCAGCCGAGGUCAUAGUAGGCCGGGCUUUCCGCCCUGCCGAAGGAC